AGUCACUGACAUUAGAUACCCCGGUAGUCCAGGGUGUAAACGCUGCAGACUUGGUGUUGGAAGCCCUUUGGUGGCAUUCAGUGCCGGAGAGAAGUUGUUAAGUCUGCUACUUGGGGAGUACGUCCGCAAGGAUGAAACUUAAAGGAAUUGGCGGGGGAGCACCGCAACGGGAGGAGCGUGCGGUUUAAUUGGAUUCAACACCGUAAACUCACCAGGGAAGACUGUUACAUGAAGGCCGAGAUGAAGACUCUGCUAGAUUUUCAG
This 264-nucleotide ribosomal RNA is filed under the name uncultured archaeon. RNAcentral describes it as "partial 16S ribosomal RNA". It matches the Rfam family "Archaeal small subunit ribosomal RNA", at positions 718 to 982 of the family's 1478-position model. The record is from RNAcentral.